CCUACGGGUGGCAGCAGUGGGGAAUAUUGGACAAUGGGCGAAAGCCUGAUCCAGCCAUGCCGCGUGUGUGAAGAAGGCCUUCGGGUUGUAAAGCACUUUCAGUGGGGAAGAAAGCCUUGGGGCUAAUACCCUCGAGGAAGGACAUCACCCACAGAAGAAGCACCGGCUAACUCCGUGCCAGCAGCCGCGGUAAUACGGAGGGUGCGAGCGUUAAUCGGAAUUACUGGGCGUAAAGCGCGCGUAGGCGGUCUGAUAAGCCGGUUGUGAAAGCCCCGGGCUCAACCCGGGAACGGCAUCCGGAACUGUCAGGCUAGAGUGCAGGAGAGGAAGGUAGAAUUCCCGGUGUAGCGGUGAAAUGCGUAGAGAUCGGGAGGAAUACCAGUGGCGAAGGCGGCCUUCUGGACUGACACUGACGCUGAGGUGCGAAAGCGUGGGUAGCAAACAGGAUUAGAUACCCCGGUAGUC
Molecule: ribosomal RNA, 465 nt
Filed under: Vreelandella stevensii
Lineage: Bacteria; Pseudomonadati; Pseudomonadota; Gammaproteobacteria; Oceanospirillales; Halomonadaceae
Description: partial 16S ribosomal RNA
Rfam family: Bacterial small subunit ribosomal RNA
Source: RNAcentral